AGCGGCGGACGGGUGAGUAACACGUGGGCAACCUGCCUUGUAGAGGGGAAUAGCCUUCCGAAAGGAAGAUUAAUACCGCAUAAUAUUGCACUUUCGCAUGAAAGAGUAAUUAAAGGAGCAAUCCGCUAUAAGAUGGGCCCGCGGCGCAUUAGCUAGUUGGUGAGGUAACGGCUCACCAAGGCGACGAUGCGUAGCCGACCUGAGAGGGUGAUCGGCCACAUUGGGACUGAGACACGGCCCAGACUCCUACGGGAGGCAGCAGUGGGGAAUAUUGCACAAUGGGGGAAACCCUGAUGCAGCAACGCCGCGUGAGUGAUGAAGGUCUUCGGAUCGUAAAGCUCUGUCUUCAGGGACGAUAAUGACGGUACCUGAGGAGGAAGCCACGGCUAACUACGUGCCAGCAGCCGCGGUAAUACGUAGGUGGCGAGCGUUGUCCGGAUUUACUGGGCGUAAAG
RNAcentral lists this ribosomal RNA (455 nucleotides) under Clostridiaceae bacterium HGH0047. RNAcentral's name for it is "bacterial SSU rRNA". It matches the Rfam family "Bacterial small subunit ribosomal RNA", at positions 94 to 565 of the family's 1533-position model. Lineage: Bacteria; Bacillati; Bacillota; Clostridia; Eubacteriales; Clostridiaceae. The record is from RNAcentral.